UUCAAACGGAUUGACAAACAGCUAGCCAGUCUCACGACAUUGGAUUUGGAAUCUGUUUCUCCUGAGUUGCUGUUGUGCCGUGACUUGGAGCUAGCAGUUCCUGGAACAUAUCGUGCAGAUGCCCCCGUCGUGACGAUUGCAUCGUUUUCACGCCAACUUGUUGUCAUAAC
This is a non-coding RNA of Camelina sativa (false flax), 170 nucleotides long. Lineage: Eukaryota; Viridiplantae; Streptophyta; Magnoliopsida; Brassicales; Brassicaceae. The record is from RefSeq and is a predicted model, not a curated record.